This 1347-nucleotide ribosomal RNA is filed under the name Coccomyxa colurodontidis. RNAcentral's name for it is "SSU rRNA". It matches the Rfam family "Eukaryotic small subunit ribosomal RNA", at positions 352 to 1762 of the family's 1831-position model. Lineage: Eukaryota; Metazoa; Cnidaria; Myxozoa; Bivalvulida; Coccomyxidae. The record is from RNAcentral.
GUGACGGGUACGGGGAUCAGGGUUCGAUUCCGGAGAGGGAGCCUGAGAAACGGCUACCACAUCUAAGGAAGGCAGCAGGCGCGCAAAUUACCCAAUCCAGACAUUGGGAGGUAGUGACGAGAAAUAUCAAAGCGUGCCUCAAAGGUUCGCUAUUGAAAUGAACGUAACAUAGUACCUUCGAUGAGUACCCACUGGAGGGCAAGUCUGGUGCCAGCAGCCGCGGUAAUUCCAGCUCCAGUAGUGUAUAUCAAAAUUGUUGCGGUUAAAACGCUCGUAGUUGGAUUACAAAAGUUUGGCGUCGGUUGAGCAAUUGUUUGGCAGGCGUUGGGCUUUUUUAUCGCAAGAACCAUGUAUGCACUUAACCGUGUGUGUGUGGCCACUUGCGGAGCGUGCCUUGAAUAAAGCAAAGUGCUCAAAGCAAGCGUAUCGCUCGAAUGUUAUAGCAUGGAACGAAUAGCCUGGCAAGGUUCAGUUUGUUGGUUCUCUGAGCCGGGUCCAUUGAUUAAAAGGGACAUUUGAGGGCGUUAGUACUUGGUGGCGAGAGGUGAAAUUCUUAGACCCACCAAAGACUCACUAAUGCGAAAGCAUUCGCCAAGAAUGUUUUCAUUGAUCAAGAACGAAAGUUAGAGGUUCGAAGACGAUUAGAUACCGUCCUAGUUCUAUACAGUAAACUAUGCCACCUCGGGAUUAGUCCGGAGAAUGAUCCAGGUUGGUCCCCCAAGGAAACUUGAAGUGUUCGGGUUCCGGGGGGAGUAUGGUCGCAAGUCUGAAACUUAAAGGAAUUGACGGAAGGGCACCACCAGGAGUGGAGCCUGCGGCUUAAUUUGACUCAACACGGGGCAACUCACCAGGUCCAGACAUUGAAAGGAUUGACAGACUGAUAGAUCUUUCAAGAUCCAAUGAUUGGUGGUGCAUGGCCGUUCUUAGUUGGUGGAGUGAUCUGUCAGGUCUAUUCCGGUAACGAGCGAGACCACGAUCCCUAUUUGAUUACGGCUGUUUUAGUCAUGGCUGAUCAUAGGGAGACUACCGGAGUACAAGCCGGGGGAAGCGUGGCAAUAACAGGUCUGUGAUGCCCUUCGAUGUUCUGGGCCGCACGCGCGCUACAAUGGCAGUGACAACAAGUGUCUGCACCGAGAGGUGUGGAAAAUCUUGACAAUCGCUGUCGUAAUUGGGAUUGAGCCUUGUAAUAUUUGCUCAUGAAAGAGGAAUUCCUCGUAAGCGCAAGUCACCAACUUGUGUUGAAUACGUCUCUGCCCUUUGUACACACCGCCCGUCGCUACUACCGAUUGAAUGGCUUUUCGAGAAGUCGGGAUCGGGGAUCGCAAGAUCUUCUGAGAGCUGCUUCGA